RNAcentral lists this ribosomal RNA (218 nucleotides) under Campeiostachys nutans. RNAcentral's name for it is "Elymus nutans partial small subunit ribosomal RNA". The stretch from base 48 to 218 matches the Rfam family "Eukaryotic small subunit ribosomal RNA", at positions 693 to 864 of the family's 1831-position model. The record is from RNAcentral. Lineage: Eukaryota; Viridiplantae; Streptophyta; Magnoliopsida; Poales; Poaceae.
GGGUUCACCCAUUGGUCAGGCUUAAUUGUCUGCACCGGUGAGAUGAGUCUCUACCUUCUGAGGAACUUUCAUGUCAUUAAUUUGGUGUGAUGGGAAAUCAGGGCUGUUACUUUGAAAAAAUUAGAGUGUUUAAAGCAGACUAUCGUCUGAAUACAUUAGCAUGGAAUAAUGAAAUAGGACGGACUGAUUCUAUUUCGUUGGUUUCUAGGAUCACCGUA